Molecule: ribosomal RNA, 263 nt
Filed under: uncultured bacterium
Lineage: Bacteria
Description: partial 16S ribosomal RNA
Rfam family: Bacterial small subunit ribosomal RNA
Source: RNAcentral
AACGUAGGAGACAAACGUUAUCCGGAGUUACUGGGCGUAAAGGGCGUGUAGGUGGUUUCGUAAGUCUGGCGUGAAAUUUUUCGGCUUAACCGGGAAAGGUCGUCGGAUACUGCGGAACUAGAGGACGGUAGAGGCGUGUGGAAUUCCGGGUGUAGUGGUGAAAUGCGUAGAGAUCCGGAGGAACACCAGUGGCGAAGGCGACACGCUGGGCCGUACCUGACACUGAUGCGCGACAGCAUGGGGAGCAAACAGGAUUACGAAAC